This 252-nucleotide ribosomal RNA is filed under the name uncultured bacterium. RNAcentral's name for it is "partial 16S ribosomal RNA". It matches the Rfam family "Bacterial small subunit ribosomal RNA", at positions 524 to 776 of the family's 1533-position model. The record is from RNAcentral.
UACGGGGGGGAGCAGUCGUUGUCGGAUUUACUGGGCGUAAAGGGCGCGUAGGCGGCGCAACAAGUCACUUGUGAAAUCUCCGGGCUUAACCCGGAGCGGCCAAGUGAUACUGUCGUGCUAGAGUGCGGAAGGGGCUACUGGAAUUCUCGGUGUAGCGGUGAAAUGCGUAGAUAUCGGGAGGAACACCGUGGCGAAGGCGACUACCUGGCCUGUUCUUGACGCUGAGGCGCGAAAGCUAGGGGAGCAAACGGG